UGACCGCUGGCGGCGUGCCUAAUACAUGCACGUCGAGCGAACAGACGAGGAGCUUGCUCCUCUGACGUUAGCGGCGGACGGGUGAGUAACACGUGGAUAACCUACCUAUAAGACUGGGAUAACUUCGGGAAACCGGAGCUAAUACCGGAUAAUAUAUUGAACCGCAUGGUUCAAUAGUGAAAGACGGUUUUGCUGUCACUUAUAGAUGGAUCCGCGCCGCAUUAGCUAGUUGGUAAGGUAACGGCUUACCAAGGCAACGAUGCGUAGCCGACCUGAGAGGGUGAUCGGCCACACUGGAACUGAGACACGGUCCAGACUCCUACGGGAGGCAGCAGUAGGGAAUCUUCCGCAAUGGGCGAAAGCCUGACGGAGCAACGCCGCGUGAGUGAUGAAGGUCUUCGGAUCGUAAAACUCUGUUAUUAGGGAGGAACAAAUGUGUAAGUAACUAUGCACGUCUUGACGGUACCUAAUCAGAAAGCCACGGCUAACUACGUG
Molecule: ribosomal RNA, 495 nt
Filed under: uncultured bacterium
Lineage: Bacteria
Description: partial 16S ribosomal RNA
Rfam family: Bacterial small subunit ribosomal RNA
Source: RNAcentral